CAGUAGCCGCGGUAAUACGAAGGGUGCAAGCGUUAAUCGGAAUUACUGGGCGUAAGGCGUGCGUAGGCGGUGAGUUAAGUCUGCUGUGAAAUCCCCGGGCUCAACCUGGGAAUGGCAGUGGAUACUGGCUCGCUAGAGUGUGUCAGAGGAUGGUGGAAUUCCCGGUGUAGCGGUGAAAUGCGUAGAGAUCGGGAGGAACAUCAGUGGCGAAGGCGGCCAUCUGGGACAACACUGACGCUGAGGCACGAAAGCGUGGGGAGCAAACAGGAUUAGAUACCCCCGUAGUCCCUGUCUCUUAUAC
Molecule: ribosomal RNA, 301 nt
Filed under: uncultured bacterium
Lineage: Bacteria
Description: partial 16S ribosomal RNA
Rfam family: Bacterial small subunit ribosomal RNA
Source: RNAcentral